This is a long non-coding RNA of Callithrix jacchus (white-tufted-ear marmoset), 3115 nucleotides long. The record is from Ensembl. NCBI's taxonomy places the organism in Eukaryota, Metazoa, Chordata, Mammalia, Primates, Cebidae.
AUGGAGCUAAGAAUGAACUGCUCUAGUUUGGAUGUGCAGCCACUCUGGGCACAGAAACUCAGCCAACCACUAAAGAUCAAUGUGAUGGGGGAAGAUUCCUCAAGAGAUCAUCAAACCUCAGUCUUACAAGGACUCAGUGGAGCUCUGAUGACUACUAUCUUGUGUGGGAUCUAAUAGGGGUCCCACUGAUCUAGAGACCAACAGCCUGGGGACCCAAGACAGCUGCUCUUUGACCAGAGCCUGUCCACCUGGACACCGAGGGACCUGCCUUGCUGCGUCACAUGUAUCUGUGACUAAGAAGAGAUUGGACUGGUUACUGCCUAGCUCUGUAGCCCAGUCGGCUCACAUAGUCCAGGGAAAAGGGAUUUGUUAGACACAGGGACUAGGACUUGGCAAACCCACCUGGGGUGGGGGAGUGCUUCUGAAAAGGGUCUACUUAGAAUUAAAGGCUGGGAGAGAAAUCCUGUGUCACUCUGAUGUCCAACAUAGCCAUACAAGCUGGCUGCCACUCCUGGCUAUGACUUAACCUUCUGACAGCUCUUCUCCAAUUGGACUUCUGGGUUUCUACCUGGACAAAAGGAGCCUAGGCAGAGAAUUCAGAGCUUUUGGCCUGCAUAGGUUGAAAAUGCAGCAGAGCAGAAUGAAGAUUAGAUGGAACUGAAUACUGGAACAUACUACAAUUGUCCCUUGAUCUCUGUGGGGCAUUGGUUCCAGGACCUCCCACAGAUAUCAAAAUCUGAAGAUGCUCAAGUCCCUAGUAUAAAAUGGCACAAUAUUUGCAUAUAACCUUCGUACCUCCUCUGUAUACUUUAAUUGUCUCUAGAUUACAGUCAUGUGCCACAUAACAAUGUUUAAGUCAACUAUGGGCCACAUAUGCAAUGGGGUCCCAUAAGAUUAUAACGGAGCUGAAAAAUUGCUUAGUGACAUCGUCACCCUCAUAAGGACAUAGUGCAAUGCAUCAUUCAUGGGUUGUGAUGAUAACCAUUCACAUGGUUUCUUGUGUAAACAAACCUACUGCACUGUCAGUUGUAUAAAAGUAUAGCACAUACAAUUAUGUGCAGUGCAUAAUACUUGGUAAGAUAAUAAAAGACUAUGUUACUGGUUUAUGUGUUUAGUAUAUUAUACUAUACUUUUUAUCAUUAGAGUGUACUCCUUCUACUUAUAAGAAAUUAACUGUAAAAUAGCCUCAGGAGGUCUUCCAGGAGGUAUUCCUGAAGAAGACACUGUUAGCACAGGAGGUGACAGCUCCAUGCAUGUUGUUCUCUCUGAAGCCCUUCCAGUGGGACAAGAGGUGGAGGUGGAAGACAGUGAUAGUGAUGACCCUGACCCUGUGCAGGCCUAGACUAAUGUGUGUGUUUGUGUCUUCAUUUUUAACAAAAAUAUUUAAAGUUUUAAAGAGUAAAAAAAAUCUUUAAAAAAUAGAUAAAAGCUCAUAGAAUAAGGACAUAAAGAAUUUUUGUGCAGGUAUACGAUGUGUUUCAAGCCAAAUGUUAUUACAAAAGAGUAAAAAUUUACAAAAAUAGAAAGUUUACAAAGGAAAAAUGUUACAGUAAGUUCAGGUUAAUCUAUUACUGAAGAAAAAUAUUUGGUGCAGCCUGUGUCCAGUGUUAUAAAGUCUACGAUAGUGUGCAGCGAUGUCCCAGGCCUUCACAUUCACUCCCCACUUACUGACUCACCCAGAGCAACUUCAAGUCCUGCAAGCUCCAUUUAUUCAUUUUUAAUCUUUUAUACUGUAUUUUUACUGUGCUUUUCUUUGUUUACGUAUGUUUAACUAUACAAAUCCUUACUGUUGUGUUACAGUUGCCUACGGUAUUCAGUACAGAACAGGCUGUACAGGUUUGUAGCGUAGGAGCAACAGGCUAUCCCAUAUAGCCUAGGUAUGUGGUAGGCUAAACCGUCUAGGUUUGUGUAAGUACACCCUGCGAUGUUUGCACAACAAAACCACCUAAUGACACAUCUCUCAGACCAUAUCCCUAUUGUUAAUGGAUGCAUAACUGUACUUAUAAUACCUAAUAAAAUGUAAAUACUAUGUAAGUAGUUGUUAUACUGUAUUGUUUUGGAAAUAAUGAAGAGAAUAAAAGUCUGUAUAUGUUUAGGAUAGACGUGGCCGGGCACAGUGGCUCAAGCCUGUAAUUCCAGCACUUUGGGAGGCCGAGGCGGGUGGAUCACGAGGUCAAGAGAUCGUGACCAUCCUGGUCAACAUGGUGAAACCUCGUCUCUACUAAAAAUACAAAAAAUUAUCUGGGCAUGGUGGCGCGUGCCUGUAAUCCCAGCUACUCAGGAGGCUGAGGCAGGAGAAUUGCCUGAACCCAGGAGGCGGAGGUUGCGGUGAGCCGAGAUCGUGCCAUUGCACUCCAGCCUGGGUACCAAGAGCGAAACUCCAUCUCAAAAAAAAAAAAGGAUAGAUGCCACUUUUUUUUCAAAUAUUUUCUAUCCACACUUGGUUGAAUCCGUGGCUAUGAAACUUUUGUAUAUGGAGGGCCAACUGUAUAUAGAAUUGUAGUUUGUGGCCACACACAGUGGCUCACACCUGUAAUCCCAGCACUUUGGGAGGCCAAGGUGGGUGGAUCACCUGAGGUCAGGAGUUCGAGACCAGCCUGAUCAACAUGAUGAAACCAUCUCUACAAAAAAAUACAACAAUUAACUGGGCAUGGUGGUGGACACCUGUAAUCCCAGCUACUUGGGAGGCUGAGGCAGGAGAAUGGUUUGAACCCGGGAAGCGGAGAUGGCAGUGAGCUGAGAUCUCACCAUUGCACUCUAGCCUGGGCAACAAGAGCGAAACUCCAUCUCAAAAAAAAAAAAAAAAAAGGAGAGAGAGAGUUGUUGUUUGCUGGAUCUGUACUCAACAGAGCAGAAAUUACCUCAAUAGUAAAUAUUCUACAGUUCUCAUUUUAGCUGUUCUCAACAACUUUUUGGGGUUUGCAUAGGUGAUGCUCAACUUUGAGAUGUUCCAGUUUUCACAUAACUUUCAUUUACAUCUCUAUCACUUCUGUAACUAUACACUGAUAGCUCAGAUACUUCAUCCUUUGGCUGAUGGAUGGCGAUUUUGCCUUCGCUCUUGCAUGGCCAGUUGCUAAGUUCUUCUGCUUGGGGAUAAAAGGCUGGGUCUCUAUAG